Molecule: microRNA precursor, 123 nt
Organism: Equus caballus (horse)
Lineage: Eukaryota; Metazoa; Chordata; Mammalia; Perissodactyla; Equidae
Source: Ensembl
UGCUCGGGGUCAGUGGUCGCCUGCGCUUAAGGGUCCUGGUGGCUCUGCCGCAGCCUCUGUGACGCUGUGACCUGCACUGAGCAUAGGAAUCAUAGGAAGGACUCAGGGGACCCAGGAGCCCUA